Molecule: ribosomal RNA, 435 nt
Filed under: uncultured bacterium
Lineage: Bacteria
Description: partial 16S ribosomal RNA
Rfam family: Bacterial small subunit ribosomal RNA
Source: RNAcentral
AGCGAACGCUGGCGGCAGGCUUAACACAUGCAAGUCGAACGGGCAUAGCAAUAUGUCAGUGGCAGACGGGUGAGUAACGCGUGGGAACGUACCUUUUGGUUCGGAACAACACAGGGAAACUUGUGCUAAUACCGGAUAAGCCCUUACGGGGAAAGAUUUAUCGCCGAAAGAUCGGCCCGCGUCUGAUUAGCUAGUUGGUAGGGUAAUGGCCUACCAAGGCGACGAUCAGUAGCUGGUCUGAGAGGAUGAUCAGCCACAUUGGGACUGAGACACGGCCCAAACUCCUACGGGAGGCAGCAGUGGGGAAUAUUGGACAGUGGGCGAAAGCCUGAUCCAGCCAUGCCGCGUGAGUGAUGAAGGCCCUAGGGUUGUAAAGCUCUUUUGUGCGGGAAGAUAAUGACGGUACCGAAAGAAUAAGCCCCGGCUAACUUCGUG